GAUGACAAAGCCAAACCUGUCGCAAGGCAGGGACGGAAAGCCACAGGUCUCAUUGAGAUAGCUGGGUUGCCAUUG
This 75-nucleotide non-coding RNA is filed under the name Desulfobacterales bacterium. Its description in RNAcentral is "c-di-GMP sequence". It matches the Rfam family "c-di-GMP-I-GGC riboswitch aptamer". The record is from RNAcentral. Lineage: Bacteria; Pseudomonadati; Thermodesulfobacteriota; Desulfobacteria; Desulfobacterales.